AAAGUCGUAACAAGGUCUCCGUAGGUGAACCUGCGGAGGGAUCAUCAAAGGAUUUUUAUCAAACAAAAAGGAAAAGAGGGGGAGAUAUAUAGUGUGCGCUGUCUUUUUUCCCUCCUCCUAGUAUAACAAUACAAGGGGGUUGAAAAGAGAGAGAUGGUACACUUUUCUCUCUCUCUUUUUUCUUUUCAAACAAACGAUCACAACUAUAUAUGAGAGAGGGAAAUUGACUUGGAAAUUAGGAGAAUCCCCUGAAAAAAGUGUUUGCCUGAUAAUUUAUUUGGUUGGAAACAAAAAAAGAAUACAACUUUCAACAACGGAUCUCUUGGCUCUC
This 331-nucleotide unclassified non-coding RNA is filed under the name Basidiomycota sp. RNAcentral describes it as "partial contains small subunit ribosomal RNA, internal transcribed spacer 1, and 5.8S ribosomal RNA". The stretch from base 1 to 47 matches the Rfam family "Eukaryotic small subunit ribosomal RNA", at positions 1785 to 1831 of the family's 1831-position model. The record is from RNAcentral. Lineage: Eukaryota; Fungi; Basidiomycota.